AACGAACGCUGGCGGCAUGCCUAACACAUGCAAGUCGAACGAGACCUUCGGGUCUAGUGGCGCACGGGUGCGUAACGCGUGGGAACCUGCCCUUAGGUUCGGAAUAACUCCCCGAAAGGGGUGCUAAUACCGGAUAAUUUCUUCGGACCAAAGAUUUAUCGCCUUUGGAUGGGCCCGCGUUGGAUUAGCUUGUUGGUAGGGUAAAAGCCUACCAAGGCGACGAUACAUAGCUGGUAUGAGAGGAUGAUCAGCCACACUGGGACUGAGACACGGAACAGACUACUACGGGAGGCAGGAGUGGGGAAUAUUGGAAAAUGGGCGAAAGCCUGAACAAGCAAUGACGCGUGAGUGAUGAAGGCCUUAGGGUAGUAAAGCUCUUUUACACGGGAUGAUAAUGACAGUACCGGGAGAAUAAGCGCCGGCUAACUACGUG
This 433-nucleotide ribosomal RNA is filed under the name uncultured bacterium. RNAcentral describes it as "partial 16S ribosomal RNA". It matches the Rfam family "Bacterial small subunit ribosomal RNA", at positions 29 to 507 of the family's 1533-position model. The record is from RNAcentral.